This is an RNA transcript of Lactuca sativa (garden lettuce), 649 nucleotides long. RefSeq lists it as uncharacterized. The record is from RefSeq and is a predicted model, not a curated record. Lineage: Eukaryota; Viridiplantae; Streptophyta; Magnoliopsida; Asterales; Asteraceae.
GAUUUGUUGUGAUGCGACUUAGAUCUUAAUUACACUCGGAUGCUCGCUUAGAAAUAGAUAAUUUUUACAAUUCGAUUCACCCUUAAUCUGUCAUUUCGUUUUUGAAAUCAUUGAUCCAUCGUGAUUGGGCUUUAUGCUUACCAUCCGGGUUGAUUACUAGAUAUGGGGGUUUACCUAAGCACACCUAAAACUGAUAAAACACCCGACGAUGGUGAGAAUGAGAAACUGAGAUAUGGAGUCUCAUCCAUGCAAGGAUGGCGCACAUCAAUGGAAGAUGUUGUAAGUCCCUAGUAUAGGCUACUUGUUAGUUAUAUAAGCUAUUGUUCCUGUUUGGAUUUUCUAUAUUCUAAAAAGGUAUGAUAGUUUAAUGCUCUUGUAAUCUUGUUGAAUUUUCUCUAUAUCUCUCUAUGAUACAACUUUCAGUCAGCCCAAACAUUGAUCACUAUAGUAAUUAACCAAGAUUUUAUGUGUCAAUAUGAGGUGUUUGGUAGCAUGCUGCUUUAGUUGACUUGGACAACUCCACAUCUUUCUUUGGCGUUUAUGAUGGCCAUGGAGGUCAGGCAGUCUCUAAGUUCUGUGCCAAGUAUCUUCACCAGCAAGUCCUGAAGCAGGAAGCUUAUGCUGCUGGUGAUAUUGGAACUACUGCCCA